Carassius gibelio (silver crucian carp) is the source of this 1413-nucleotide long non-coding RNA. RefSeq lists it as uncharacterized. The transcript has 5 exons. The record is from RefSeq and is a predicted model, not a curated record. NCBI's taxonomy places the organism in Eukaryota, Metazoa, Chordata, Actinopteri, Cypriniformes, Cyprinidae.
GAUAAUGUUUGUUAAUGAAAGAGAGUACGGGACAAAUUAACAUUUAAACCUUAAACUAGCAGCGCACGUCACUUUCUGAGUGAAGUGCGCGACGUGCGCGUGCCCGUCAUUUUGUAACGGUCAACUUCCAGCGGACGGACACGGAGGAAAGGGCCUGACAACCACCAGUUGAGUCCAUGAUCAGGGAAGAGACAGUCUGGGCAGCAGCAACAAGACAACUAUUACAAGUAGAGAUGGGUUUCAAGAACUGGUACUAAUUUGGUUCCUGACUUGUUCGACAGAACCACAUAUCCUCCAAAUCAUCUCUGCGUGGAUGGCAGCAAGGAUCCAGGAUCAAGAGAUCAUUCUUCAUGGAGACUGUUCCACAGGAAGCAGUUUCUACUGGGUCAUCCUGACCAUUCUGCUGUCCUGGAUGUAAGGCCGUGCAGGAACUACAUUUCUCGUUGUUGAAAGAUUUGUGCAGCGGUAUCCAGGCAUCAACGCCUCUCGUUUACUUUUAAAUGAAGUGACGUCAAGGAUGGUGAAAUUAAUUCUAGAAAUUAAUUCUAAAUAGAAGUUGAAGACUUCUCAAGCGCCAAUGCAGCCGUUCUCCAGUCAGAACAUCUUAUGCAAAUACCCUAGCGCAGACGCAAGCCAAUCAAGUGCAUGCAAUACCAGAAAACUAAUGUGAUUGGCUGUCACUAUGAGAAGAGACAGUAAUUCUGAUCCGAUAUCAGUGUCGUUUUUUGCUAAAAAAAAUUUAAAUCAAUGUAGAAUUUUCUAUACUUCUGUGUAGGGAUGUCAAUUUUCAAUCAUUUCCAUGAUCGAUCGUCGUUUAAAUUAAUGAUCAAAUAAUCGAUUAAUCGUUAACCUUAAUGCUGCAAAGUCUAUUGCAGUAACACCCAGUCACUGGUAUGACAGGAUGUGCAAAAGUGUGUGUGUGUAUAUAUGUGUGUGUGUGUAUAUAUAUAUAUAUAUAUAUAUAAAACUGUAAAAUAUAUAUUUUACAGUAAAGACCAAAAGUUUGGACACACCUUCUCAUUCAAAGAGUUUUCUUUAUUUUCAUGACUAUGAAAAUUGUAGAGUCACACUGAAGUCAUCAAGGGCUAUUUGAGCAAGAAGGAGAGUGAUGGGGUGCUGCGCCAGAUGACCUGGCCUCCACAGUCACCGGACCUGAACCCAAUCCAGAUGGUUUAGGGGUGAGCUGGACCGCAGACUGAAGGCAAAAGGGCCAACAUGUGCUAAGCAUCUCUCGGGGAACUCCUUCAAGACUGUUGAAGACCAUUUCAGGUGACUACCUCUUGAAGCUCAUCAAGAGAAUGCCAAGAGUGUGCAAAGCAGUAAUUAAAGCAAAAGGUGGCUACUUUGAAGAACCUACAAUAUGACAUAUUUUCAGUUGUUUCACACUUUUUUGUUAUGUAUAUAAUUCCAUAU